Long non-coding RNA from Thunnus maccoyii (southern bluefin tuna), 1656 nucleotides. RefSeq lists it as uncharacterized. NCBI's taxonomy places the organism in Eukaryota, Metazoa, Chordata, Actinopteri, Scombriformes, Scombridae. The transcript has 2 exons. The record is from RefSeq and is a predicted model, not a curated record.
CUUCAACCUCUAACAAACUGGAGGCAGACUUAUGAAAAAUUGAAGCCCUCCUCAGCCUGUUGUUUAUGUAUCGUAUGGGUAUGAAGAUGCAGCGGAGGGUCAGAUGUGCCGCGAGCUGAGUUUCCUGAUUUAACAUCGUCUGAACAUUAUUCAUAAAGCCGAGGUCUGAGUGGCCUCUUUUUUUUUUUUUCCUCCCAGAGUGCUGCUUGGAGAAAAGAUUAAUUCUUCCUCACAUUUGGCUGCCAGUUUCAUCUUUUAUUCCUCUGGUGCUGAACAUACUGGCAACCAAAUACUCUAUUCAUACAGACACACAGGUUACAUAAACACAAAUAAGUCCCCAAAAUGUAUUUUCUUUCAAAAACCUGUCAAGAUGAACUCAAAAACUGCUGCUUUAACUAUCAAUUAUUUCUGUUACUGAUCAAUCUGCAGACUAUUUUCAUGAUAAAGCAGUAAGAAAUGUAAUUGGUUUAGUCUAAGGCUGUAGUCUCCCAGUCGAUAGGCUCUUGUCUGACCAAUGACGUUGGCAUUACACCAUAUCCAGGGCUUCCAACCCCUGACAGUUUACUGAGAAGAUAAAGCUGUGUUUGCUUGUGGGGGCAGAUAACUCUGGUUCACACUCCAACAUGAUAGGUGGUGAUAACGCACCUUAACACUGGUUGCCACCCGCCAUAAAAAUGUAGAAGAAGAAGACGAGAGCGCUGCAGACCCAGCGGCAGGCUGAGGAGACCAGGGUGAGUCUGAGACGGGCUUGUCAGGCUCCGAGAUAACAUUAUCUUCUGCCUUCUGCUUAGAAGUGGUGAAUUUACAGCUCACAGCAACUUAAUACGAUAUAGUCUCUGGCUCUGUUUGAUAUCUGGUGGUAUCUCUUCAUGGUUUGGUAACUUGACAGUUCAGUCAAAGGCUCGAAUCAACAGACCAGUACAGACAGCCAUGAAGAUUAUGGGAGUCCAUCAGUCUUCAGGAUAUUUUUCAGCAAACCUUAAUCAGACGGGCACAAAAAAGUCAUCUCAGACCCAACUCAUGUUCUUCACCCUGAAUAUCAGUUCCUUCCCUCAGGCAGACGGUACAGAGGAUCAACCGUUCCAUCGAAGUCCUCAACACCACCCAGGCUGUAAUGUGGCGAGAAGAAGAGAGCGUUCAGCAUGUUAAAGACUUGUUCUGGAGACCUCUGCUUAAACUGCAUCACCUGAGCCACACUGACGUUUAAAUAAAACUAAAAAUGUAAAGCCUCUAAAGGCACCAACACAACACAAGAGCUGGAUGGAGAUAACGUCCUACAUCAGCGUUUCCCACAUUCUUAAAGUCUGCUCAAGGAUAUUGACGAUAUAUAUCAGGAAACUGAGAUACAGAACCACAGAUCAGACCUGGACUCUGUGUGAAAACUGGUCAAAAAUCAAUACAGCUGUCAGAAAAUGAUCCGUCCAAGUUUGUCUCUGUUGCUGUUGCUUCAGUUUUUGUUUCUGCAUGUGUGUGUGUGUUUGCAUUUCUAUUAAUACACUUAUGGUUUGUAACGCAUCUCGGUGGGAAAGUGAAAGAGCAGCACUUGGCUCUCAAACACUACUCCCACUGUGAACGUGUGCGACUGUGUGUGAACAGAACGUUGGUUUCAGCGAAGCUUCCCUGAUUGAAUAAAGAUUAAAGGAGACGUAUUCUGCA